AUACCUUUCUCGGCCUUUUGGCUAAGAUCAAGUGUAGUAUCUGUUUUUAUCAAUUUAAUAUCUGAUAUGUGGGCCAUCGGUUCACUCGAUAUUAACUCUAUUUUUUUAGGGAGAAAGCCCGUUAAGAUAGCUUGCUAUCUGGGUUUUCACGAAUCGCUAUCUGGGUUUUCACGAAUCGCCCAUG
Molecule: small nuclear RNA, 184 nt
Filed under: Brassica rapa (field mustard)
Lineage: Eukaryota; Viridiplantae; Streptophyta; Magnoliopsida; Brassicales; Brassicaceae
Description: snRNA U2
Rfam family: U2 spliceosomal RNA
About the family: U2 is a small nuclear RNA (snRNA) component of the spliceosome (involved in pre-mRNA splicing). Complementary binding between U2 snRNA (in an area lying towards the 5' end but 3' to hairpin I) and the branchpoint sequence (BPS) of the intron results the bulging out of an unpaired adenosine, on the BPS, which initiates a nucleophilic attack at the intronic 5' splice site, thus starting the first of two transesterification reactions that mediate splicing.
Source: Rfam by way of RNAcentral